Molecule: ribosomal RNA, 477 nt
Filed under: uncultured bacterium
Lineage: Bacteria
Description: bacterial SSU rRNA
Rfam family: Bacterial small subunit ribosomal RNA
Source: RNAcentral
UAGUCCAUGCUGUAAACGAUGAUCACUCGAUGUUGGCGAUAUAUUGUCAGUGUCCAAGCGAAAGUAUUAAGUGAUCCACCUGGGGAGUACGUUCGCAAGAAUGAAACUCAAAGGAAUUGACGGGGGCUCACACAAGCGGUGGAGGAUGUGGCUUAAUUCGAGGCAACGCGAAGAACCUUAUCCUGGAUUUGACAUGCAUGGAUUAACUCUGUGAAAGCAGAGCCACACCUUCGGGUGGAACAUGCACAGGUGGUGCAUGGCUGUCGUCAGCUCGUGUCGUGAGAUGUUGGGUUAAGUCCCGCAACGAGCGCAACCCUUGUCUUUAGUUGCCAUCAUUUAGUUGGGCACUCUAGAGAAACUGCCGGUGACAAACCGGAGGAAGGUAAGGAUGACGUCAAGUCAGCAUGCCCCUUACGCUCUGGGCUACACACGUGCUACAAUGGUCGUGACAAAGNGUUGCUAGUCUGCGAAGGCAAG